UCUGUUGGUAGUGAAGAAAGAUAGAGGUAGUAACUGGCCUUUAUUUGACGGUAAUUACUUAGAAAGUCACGGCUAACUACGUGCCAGCAGCGCGGUAAUACGUAGUGGCAAGCGUUGUCCGGAUUUAUUGGGCGUAAAGCGAGUGCAGGGGUUCAAUAAGUCUGAUGUGAAAGCCUUCGGCUCAACCGGAGAAUUGCAUCAGAAACUGUGAACUUGAGUGCAGAAGAGAAGUGGAACUCCAUGUGUAGCGGUGGAAUGCGUAGAUAUAUGGAAGAACACCAGUGGCGAAGGCGGCUCUCUGG
This 302-nucleotide ribosomal RNA is filed under the name Lactobacillus acidophilus. RNAcentral describes it as "bacterial SSU rRNA". It matches the Rfam family "Bacterial small subunit ribosomal RNA", at positions 432 to 732 of the family's 1533-position model. The record is from RNAcentral. Lineage: Bacteria; Bacillati; Bacillota; Bacilli; Lactobacillales; Lactobacillaceae. RNAcentral also lists the same sequence under 1 other name.